GGACUACUAGGGUAUCUAAUCCUGUUUGCUCCCCUAGCUUUCGUUCCUCAGCGUCAGUAGUGGUCCAGCGCGCCGCCUUCGCCACGGGUGUUCCUGCAGAUAUCUACGCAUUUCACCGCUACACCUGCAAUUCCACGCGCCUCUCCCACACUCAAGCACAGCAGUUUCGGAAGCAGUCUCUGAGUUGAGCCCAGAGAUUUCACUCCCGACUUGCUACACCGCCUACGAACCCUUUACACCCAGUAAUUCCGAGCAACGCUGGCCCCCCACGUCUUACCGCGGCUGCUGGCAC
This 292-nucleotide ribosomal RNA is filed under the name uncultured Acidobacteriota bacterium. RNAcentral's name for it is "uncultured Acidobacteria bacterium partial 16S ribosomal RNA". Lineage: Bacteria; Pseudomonadati; Acidobacteriota. The record is from RNAcentral.